GACGAACACUGGCGGCGUGCUUAACACAUGCAAGUCGAGCGGUAAGGCCCUUCGGGUACGACGAGCGGCGAACGGGUGAGUAACACGUGGGUGACCUGCCUCUAGCUCUGGGAUAAGCCUGGGGAAACUGGGUCUAAUACCGGAUAUGACUCCACGGCGCAUGUUGUGGGGUGGAAAGCCUUGUGUGGCUAGAGAUGGGCCCGCGGCCUAUCAGCUUGUUGGUGGGGUGAGGCCUACCAAGGCGACGACGGGUAGCCGGCCUGAGAGGGCGACCGGCCACACUGGGACUGAGACACGGCCCAGACUCCUACGGGAGGCAGCAGUGGGGAAUCUUGCGCAAUGGGCGAAAGCCUGACGCAGCGACGCCGC
RNAcentral lists this ribosomal RNA (369 nucleotides) under uncultured bacterium. RNAcentral's name for it is "bacterial SSU rRNA". It matches the Rfam family "Bacterial small subunit ribosomal RNA", at positions 28 to 400 of the family's 1533-position model. The record is from RNAcentral.